GGUAUCGUGGCCGAGUGGCUAGGCAGUGGUCUGCAACACCAUGUACAGCGGUUCGAAUCCGCUCGAUACCUCAA
RNAcentral lists this transfer RNA (74 nucleotides) under Flavobacteriales bacterium. RNAcentral's name for it is "tRNA-Cys". It matches the Rfam family "tRNA". From Rfam's summary of the family: Transfer RNA (tRNA) molecules are approximately 80 nucleotides in length. Their secondary structure includes four short double-helical elements and three loops (D, anti-codon, and T loops). The record is from RNAcentral. Lineage: Bacteria; Pseudomonadati; Bacteroidota; Flavobacteriia; Flavobacteriales.